RNAcentral lists this ribosomal RNA (2902 nucleotides) under Escherichia coli. Its description in RNAcentral is "23S ribosomal RNA". It matches the Rfam family "Bacterial large subunit ribosomal RNA". The record is from RNAcentral. Lineage: Bacteria; Pseudomonadati; Pseudomonadota; Gammaproteobacteria; Enterobacterales; Enterobacteriaceae.
UUAAGCGACUAAGCGUACACGGUGGAUGCCCUGGCAGUCAGAGGCGAUGAAGGACGUGCUAAUCUGCGAUAAGCGUCGGUAAGGUGAUAUGAACCGUUAUAACCGGCGAUUUCCGAAUGGGGAAACCCAGUGUGUUUCGACACACUAUCAUUAACUGAAUCCAUAGGUUAAUGAGGCGAACCGGGGGAACUGAAACAUCUAAGUACCCCGAGGAAAAGAAAUCAACCGAGAUUCCCCCAGUAGCGGCGAGCGAACGGGGAGGAGCCCAGAGUCUGAAUCAGUGUGUGUGUUAGUGGAAGCGUCUGGAAAGGCGCGCGAUACAGGGUGACAGCCCCGUACACAAAAAUGCACAUACUGUGAGCUCGAUGAGUAGGGCGGGACACGUGGUAUCCUGUCUGAAUAUGGGGGGACCAUCCUCCAAGGCUAAAUACUCCUGACUGACCGAUAGUGAACCAGUACCGUGAGGGAAAGGCGAAAAGAACCCCGGCGAGGGGAGUGAAAAAGAACCUGAAACCGUGUACGUACAAGCAGUGGGAGCCUCUUUUAUGGGGUGACUGCGUACCUUUUGUAUAAUGGGUCAGCGACUUAUAUUCUGUAGCAAGGUUAACCGAAUAGGGGAGCCGAAGGGAAACCGAGUCUUAACUGGGCGUUAAGUUGCAGGGUAUAGACCCGAAACCCGGUGAUCUAGCCAUGGGCAGGUUGAAGGUUGGGUAACACUAACUGGAGGACCGAACCGACUAAUGUUGAAAAAUUAGCGGAUGACUUGUGGCUGGGGGUGAAAGGCCAAUCAAACCGGGAGAUAGCUGGUUCUCCCCGAAAGCUAUUUAGGUAGCGCCUCGUGAAUUCAUCUCCGGGGGUAGAGCACUGUUUCGGCAAGGGGGUCAUCCCGACUUACCAACCCGAUGCAAACUGCGAAUACCGGAGAAUGUUAUCACGGGAGACACACGGCGGGUGCUAACGUCCGUCGUGAAGAGGGAAACAACCCAGACCGCCAGCUAAGGUCCCAAAGUCAUGGUUAAGUGGGAAACGAUGUGGGAAGGCCCAGACAGCCAGGAUGUUGGCUUAGAAGCAGCCAUCAUUUAAAGAAAGCGUAAUAGCUCACUGGUCGAGUCGGCCUGCGCGGAAGAUGUAACGGGGCUAAACCAUGCACCGAAGCUGCGGCAGCGACGCUUAUGCGUUGUUGGGUAGGGGAGCGUUCUGUAAGCCUGUGAAGGUGUGCUGUGAGGCAUGCUGGAGGUAUCAGAAGUGCGAAUGCUGACAUAAGUAACGAUAAAGCGGGUGAAAAGCCCGCUCGCCGGAAGACCAAGGGUUCCUGUCCAACGUUAAUCGGGGCAGGGUGAGUCGACCCCUAAGGCGAGGCCGAAAGGCGUAGUCGAUGGGAAACAGGUUAAUAUUCCUGUACUUGGUGUUACUGCGAAGGGGGGACGGAGAAGGCUAUGUUGGCCGGGCGACGGUUGUCCCGGUUUAAGCGUGUAGGCUGGUUUUCCAGGCAAAUCCGGAAAAUCAAGGCUGAGGCGUGAUGACGAGGCACUACGGUGCUGAAGCAACAAAUGCCCUGCUUCCAGGAAAAGCCUCUAAGCAUCAGGUAACAUCAAAUCGUACCCCAAACCGACACAGGUGGUCAGGUAGAGAAUACCAAGGCGCUUGAGAGAACUCGGGUGAAGGAACUAGGCAAAAUGGUGCCGUAACUUCGGGAGAAGGCACGCUGAUAUGUAGGUGAAGUCCCUUGCGGAUGGAGCUGAAAUCAGUCGAAGAUACCAGCUGGCUGCAACUGUUUAUUAAAAACACAGCACUGUGCAAACACGAAAGUGGACGUAUACGGUGUGACGCCUGCCCGGUGCCGGAAGGUUAAUUGAUGGGGUCAGCGCAAGCGAAGCUCUUGAUCGAAGCCCCGGUAAACGGCGGCCGUAACUAUAACGGUCCUAAGGUAGCGAAAUUCCUUGUCGGGUAAGUUCCGACCUGCACGAAUGGCGUAAUGAUGGCCAGGCUGUCUCCACCCGAGACUCAGUGAAAUUGAACUCGCUGUGAAGAUGCAGUGUACCCGCGGCAAGACGGAAAGACCCCGUGAACCUUUACUAUAGCUUGACACUGAACAUUGAGCCUUGAUGUGUAGGAUAGGUGGGAGGCUUAGAAGUGUGGACGCCAGUCUGCAUGGAGCCGACCUUGAAAUACCACCCUUUAAUGUUUGAUGUUCUAACGUUGGCCCCUAAUCGGGGUUGCGGACAGUGUCUGGUGGGUAGUUUGACUGGGGCGGUCUCCUCCUAAAGAGUAACGGAGGAGCACGAAGGUUGGCUAAUCCUGGUCGGACAUCAGGAGGUUAGUGCAAUGGCAUAAGCCAGCUUGACUGCGAGCGUGACGGCGCGAGCAGGUGCGAAAGCAGGUCAUAGUGAUCCGGUGGUUCUGAAUGGAAGGGCCAUCGCUCAACGGAUAAAAGGUACUCCGGGGAUAACAGGCUGAUACCGCCCAAGAGUUCAUAUCGACGGCGGUGUUUGGCACCUCGAUGUCGGCUCAUCACAUCCUGGGGCUGAAGUAGGUCCCAAGGGUAUGGCUGUUCGCCAUUUAAAGUGGUACGCGAGCUGGGUUUAGAACGUCGUGAGACAGUUCGGUCCCUAUCUGCCGUGGGCGCUGGAGAACUGAGGGGGGCUGCUCCUAGUACGAGAGGACCGGAGUGGACGCAUCACUGGUGUUCGGGUUGUCAUGCCAAUGGCACUGCCCGGUAGCUAAAUGCGGAAGAGAUAAGUGCUGAAAGCAUCUAAGCACGAAACUUGCCCCGAGAUGAGUUCUCCCUGACCCUUUAAGGGUCCUGAAGGAACGUUGAAGACGACGACGUUGAUAGGCCGGGUGUGUAAGCGCAGCGAUGCGUUGAGCUAACCGGUACUAAUGAACCGUGAGGCUUAACCUU